AACUUUUAAUAAUGGAUCUCUUGAUUCUGGUAUUAAUAAAGAACGUAGCAAAAUACGAUAAGUAAUAUAAAUUAUAGAAUUUAGUAAAUCAUCGAAUCUUUAAACGUAUAUUAUGCCUACUAGCAUCCUAGUAAGUAUACCUAUUUAAGUAUCA
RNAcentral lists this ribosomal RNA (154 nucleotides) under Thermothelomyces thermophilus ATCC 42464. RNAcentral's name for it is "Myceliophthora thermophila ATCC 42464 5.8S ribosomal RNA". It matches the Rfam family "5.8S ribosomal RNA". From Rfam's summary of the family: 5.8S ribosomal RNA (5.8S rRNA) is a component of the large subunit of the eukaryotic ribosome. It is transcribed by RNA polymerase I as part of the 45S precursor that also contains 18S and 28S rRNA. Lineage: Eukaryota; Fungi; Ascomycota; Sordariomycetes; Sordariales; Chaetomiaceae. The record is from Rfam by way of RNAcentral.